Molecule: ribosomal RNA, 498 nt
Filed under: uncultured bacterium
Lineage: Bacteria
Description: partial 16S ribosomal RNA
Rfam family: Bacterial small subunit ribosomal RNA
Source: RNAcentral
GAUGAACGCUAGCGGCAGGCCUAAUACAUGCAAGUCGUACGAUAGAAGAGGGCUUGCUCUCUUCGAAAGUGGCGCACGGGUGCGUAACGCGUAUGCAACCUACCUUAAUCAGGGGGAUAGCCCGAAGAAAUUCGGAUUAACACCGCAUAAAAUCACAGUACAGCAUUGUACGAUGAUCAAUUAUUUAUAGGAUUAAGAUGGGCAUGCGUGACAUUAGCUAGUUGGCGGGGUAACGGCCCACCAAGGCGACGAUGUCUAGGGGAUCUGAGAGGAUGACCCCCCGCACUGGUACUGAGACACGGACCAGACUCCUACGGGAGGCAGCAGUAAGGAAUAUUGGUCAAUGGAGGCAACUCUGAACCAGCCAUGCCGCGUGCAGGAAGACGGCCCUCUGGGUUGUAAACUGCUUUUAUUCGGGAAUAAACCUCAUUAUGUAUAGUGAGCUGAAUGUACCGAAGGAAUAAGGAUCGGCUAACUCCGUGCCAGCCGCCGCCGUAA